AAAGAAAUAAUUUAUUUUUAAGCUUCUAACUUAAAAUGAGCAUUAAUAUGUUAU
Molecule: transfer RNA, 54 nt
Filed under: Xylobanus sp. UPOL A00076
Lineage: Eukaryota; Metazoa; Arthropoda; Insecta; Coleoptera; Lycidae
Description: partial tRNA-Ser
Source: RNAcentral